This 73-nucleotide transfer RNA is filed under the name Agonostomus monticola (mountain mullet). RNAcentral's name for it is "tRNA-Asp". It matches the Rfam family "tRNA". From Rfam's summary of the family: Transfer RNA (tRNA) molecules are approximately 80 nucleotides in length. Their secondary structure includes four short double-helical elements and three loops (D, anti-codon, and T loops). The record is from RNAcentral. Lineage: Eukaryota; Metazoa; Chordata; Actinopteri; Mugiliformes; Mugilidae.
GAGACGCUAGUAAAACAAGCUAUUACACCACUUUGUCAAGGUGAAGUUGCGGGUUGAACCCCCGCGCGUCUUA